GGAUGUAUAGCUCAGUGGUAGAGCUGUGAGCUUAGCAUGCACAAGGUCCUGGGUUCAAUCCCCAGUACCUACA
Molecule: transfer RNA, 73 nt
Filed under: Camelus bactrianus (Bactrian camel)
Lineage: Eukaryota; Metazoa; Chordata; Mammalia; Artiodactyla; Camelidae
Also listed under: 2 other names
Rfam family: tRNA
About the family: Transfer RNA (tRNA) molecules are approximately 80 nucleotides in length. Their secondary structure includes four short double-helical elements and three loops (D, anti-codon, and T loops).
Source: Rfam by way of RNAcentral